RNAcentral lists this ribosomal RNA (1250 nucleotides) under uncultured prokaryote. Its description in RNAcentral is "partial 16S ribosomal RNA". It matches the Rfam family "Bacterial small subunit ribosomal RNA", at positions 202 to 1449 of the family's 1533-position model. The record is from RNAcentral.
AAGACAGCUACCGCCUAGAGAUCGGCCCAUGUCCCAUUAGCUUGUUGGUGAGGUAACGGCUCACCAAGGCGACGAUGGGUAGCUGGUCUGAGAGGAUGAUCAGCCACACUGGAACUGAGACACGGUCCAGACUCCUACGGGAGGCAGCAGUCGGGAAUAUUGGACAAUGGGCGCAAGCCUGAUCCAGUAACUCCGCGUGAGGGAUGAAGGCCCUAGGGUCGUAAACCUCUGUCGGGAGGGAAGAACGGUGAUAGUGCGAACAGUGCUAAGAGGUGACGGUACCUGACUAAGAAGCACCGGCUAAUUCCGUGCCAGCAGCCGCGGUAAUACGGAAGGUGCAAGCGUUGUUCGGAAUUACUGGGCGUAAAGCGCACGUAGGCGGGUGAGCAAGUCUAUUGUGAAAUCCCGGGGCUCAACCCAGGAAUUGCAGUCGAAACUGCUGAUCUUGAAUACCUGAGAGGGCGGGGGAAUUCCUGGUGGAGUAGUGAAAUACGUAGAUAUCAGGAGGAACACCAGAGGUGAAGACGCCUACCUGGCGGUGUACUGACGCUGAUGUGCGAAAGCGUGGGGAUCAAACAGGAUUAGAUACCCUGGUAGUCCACGCUGUAAACGAUGGAUACUAGGUGUUCGGGGCAUUAACCCUCUGAGUACCAAAGUUCACACAAUAAGUAUCCCGCCUGGGGAGUACGGUCGCAAGGCUAAAACUCAAAGGAAUUGACGGGGGCCCGCACAAGCGGUGGAGUAUGUGGUUUAAUUCGAAGCAACGCGAAGAACCUUACCUGGCCUUGACAUUGCGUGACCGCCACAGAGAUGUGGUUUCCCCUUCGGAGACUCAAAGACAGGUGCUGCAUGGCUGUCGUCAGCUCGUGUUGUGAAAUGUUCGGUUAAGUCCGGCAACGAGCGCAACCCCUGUCCUUAGUUACCACCAUUAAGUUGGGGACUCUAGGGAGACUGCCGGUGUUAAACCGGAGGAAGGCGGGGAUGACGUCAAGUCCUCAUGGCCCUUACGCCCAGGGCUACACACGUACUACAAUGGCAGAAACAAACCGUCGCUAAGCCGCGAGGUGGAGCUAAUCGGUAAAACACUGUCUAAGUCCGGAUUGGAGUCUGCAAUUCGACUCCAUGAAGUUGGAAUCGCUAGUAAUCGCAGAUCAGCACGCUGCGGUGAAUACGUUCCCGGGCCUUGUACACACCGCCCGUCACACCACGAAAGUAGUCAUGGCCAGAAGUGCGCGAGCUAACUUCGGAAG